Long non-coding RNA from Ostrea edulis (European flat oyster), 3850 nucleotides. RefSeq lists it as uncharacterized. Lineage: Eukaryota; Metazoa; Mollusca; Bivalvia; Ostreida; Ostreidae. The record is from RefSeq and is a predicted model, not a curated record. The transcript has 3 exons.
GUAGAGACCGAUAGCAACCACGUGAUCAGUAAAAAUCGUGUAUUUUCACGUGAAAUUAUUUUUCGGAAUUCCGUACAUCGCCAUAGAGUAGUUGAAAAACAAAAAGGGGUUCCGAAAGUACAAGUUGUUGCUGUGACUGAAUCGAUGAUUGAGAGGGUCGUCUCGACGAAAGAUAUAGAAAUUUGGCCAUAGUUUAGAUUAGGAGUACGUCAAUGUAAUAAUAGUGGACUAAAUGUUUCGUCCGUGCAGAAUGGCACUUUUUACCUCACGAAAUCCACCACCAUGCAUAGCUGCGCUACGUAAACAAAGUUGUUGAUGUAGCGUGAUCGUGAUGUCCGAGUGCUGCGAGUUUCAAUACUGUUUAUGUAGUCAUUGAGAGUUUAAACAAAGUUUCUUCUGAGAAGAGGAAUUCGAUGGAUGUAUUCAACGUGGACAACGAAAUCAUAAUUUCGUUUGCAUCAUCCUAAGGACCAGUGCAAGUUGAAAUGGGAUUCCAGCCAACAACUUCAACAGCAAUUUGCCAUGAAAAUCAGCAAGAAAGGUACUUCAUUUACAUUGACGAUGUCAUAUCCCCUGGACCCCACAACUUUACAGGUUACAGAGAAAAUUCAAGAACUUCUGCAAAAUGUGGGACUUGGAUAGAAUCAAUAAUGUAUUUGUGAGCCCAGAGCAAUGGAUAUAUUGUGCAACAUACUAAAGUGUGAAUUUAAUGGAAAACAAGUACAUGUACUCAUGUAUUACAUGUCUUUUUUAAAGACAAUAAUAUUGUAUAAAUAUAGAGGAAGUGUCAUUGUUGAUUAUUCUAAGUUUUUGAUAUAUCAAAAUCAGUAAACAUUUCUAAAUGAAAAUAAAAUACCAAUUUUAUAACUUUAAUCAAUGUGUUUGAGAUGACCUUCAAAACGGAUGCCCAGUGUCACAGUAGAUGUGGCACGCUAAAGAACCCUCACUGCUCAAUGGCCGUAAGCGCCGAGCAAAGGCCUAAAUUUAAAGCCGUUCACCGGUCUUGGUAACGUCUCCAUAUGAGUAAAAAAUUCUCGAGAGAGACGUUAAACAAGAUACAAUCAAUCAAUCCAUGGGUCGAUUGGGUGGAAAUCUUUCCAUUGAUAUUAAAUAUAAAGUUGUUAUUUAAACAUAUUUGGUGCACUAUGCUGUAUAAUCAUAUCAAUUUCUUAUAAUAGGUAAUCGUGUCUGGUUAUUAUAAAAAAAAUGUAUGAAAAAUAACUAAAUAUUAAUGCAAUCAUUGUGAGUGCAAAAAGGUCAAUCGCAAGAGCACAUACAUAAAUGCAUUGGCGGAUAUAAGGGGUGGGGUGGGGGGCAACCGGCGCGAGCCCCCCUAAAAUUUUCAAGUUUAAAGUAAAUCGUGGUCUCUUGUUUAGAGAAAUAUAUACGAUAAAAGCCAUAAUUUCCUCCACUUUCAGAGAAAUAAAUGUCUGACAAAAUCUUUUGAUUUAUUGAAUUACUUUUAGUGGGAGAACUGCUACUUUUUCCAAAAACCCUUAAAAUUUGCGUUAUUUUAUUAAUUUCACCUUAUUAAAAAUGACAGAAAAUAAUAAAAAUUACUACAUAGGAGACAUAUUUUAAGCCCUAAAAAAUCUGUAAAAUCCAGGAGUUUCUGGGGAAUCCCCCCCCCCUUCAAGGCGGCCCCCAGACCCCUGCCUCAUACAGUUGCACCCCCCCAUCCCAACUUCAAUUCCUGAUCCGCCCCUGAAAUAGCUUAUAGAAACCUUCUUAUUGUCAUGUUCAAUUUUCAAAGAGGUAAUUUGGGAAUACUUAAACAUUCUAAGUUAUAAAAAGGUCAGUAGUUUAUCUCUGCUGGCUGAAUCUUUCUUCUCAAUGCACCGAGUGCAAUUCAUGACGUCUAUGUUCCUACUCAUUCUUUCUCCUCCAUACCAUGCAGUAUAUUAAAGGGGUUGGGAUGUAAUGGAGACAUUUGUUUUAACAAAUAUAAAUUGUAUUUCAAUUUUUUGUGGGGAUUUUUAUUUGGGAAAACUCUUGAUAUUAAUCAUCAAAUAUGAUGACGUAUGAUAAAUCUAUAUUCUGAGUGUAAGUGCACAAAGGUCAACAACGAGAACUACAACAAAAUAUAAGCUAAAAUUUGAAAUACAUACUUUCUGUAUUAUAUUUAUUAAUUUAAAAAAGGUAUUACAAAGAAUCUUCGAAUUUCAGCAAGCUGUUUUUGAUGGAUUGUUUACAACAUCUUUUAAUAACCCUUUUUCUUACGAAAAUGUGUAGUUUGUUAAAAGGGGGUGGGGUUAGGAAUUUUUUGCUACUUCCAUAUUGAACCCCAUUAUGGUGUAUAAUUUUUUUCAUAUAUUUUACUUACUAAUAGACUGACCACUUAAUGAAAUAAAAUAAGAAAUUUGAUGGGUAAUUUUUUUGCAGCGUAAGCAAAGGUAUGACCCUGUGUGCAAAUAUUGUGCACUGUUUUAAGGUAAUUGGCCAAUGUAGCUCUGUUGAAGUAAUGUUGUUGCAUGUUAAUAAUGAUUGCUGAACUUGAAAUUGAUGUGUAAUAUACAAUUAUGUGAAAGGUUGUUUGGAACCAUAUAUGACAAGUUAUUAUCCUUUUUACAAUAAAAAUGUUAUAGCUCUAUUUGUAUAUUGCUCUCUACUUAUUUUUCUUCACUUUUUACGCUUUACAAGGACUAAAGAAGGUGUUGUUAAAAUCGCCAUAUUUCUCAAAAACAAGGUCGAUUACCUACAUUGAUUUUUUAUUAUGUUUUAUAUCGAAGCUUCAUUAUAAACAUAUAUCAAAAUAAAAAAAAUUCAAUGGUUAUUUUUUUUAGCAUCAACCUAUCAAUCUCUACCUUAAUGCUUUCUACUAAAACUGCAUUUUUUUUAAACUAAAUAAAGUAGAUAUGAAAUUUUUCAAUUUCAAAAUAGUGUUGUACAUUUCAUCGAUAUCAAAUUUCUCUAGUGUAGCAUACCUCCUUAUCAACGUGAACCCGGGCUUGCCGGCUACUAAGCGAGCCGUACUACGUCACCGCGACCGUACUACGUCACCGCAACCGUCCUACGCUACCGCGACCGUACUACGUCACCACGACUGUACCGGUAUUAAUUUUAAAAUACAUGUAUAAUUGACAGUCCCGAAAGUCGCUCCGGUGAGAUAAAACAAAAUUCCAAACAGAAAAGGAACAUAUUUGUUGAAAUUAAAUUUGAUACUGGCUAUUUUUGCAUGCACUUUUAAAAUGGGUAUCUUACAUUUAAAAUAGCCAGAACUCAUAUCACAUCAUCCAGAAUAUAAUCACCAUGGGCUUUGUUAAGGUCAGUAAAAAUCUAAAUAUAUUUGGUUCUUUCUUUUCUAAAUAAUCCAGACAUCACCAGCAAAAUAUAAAUGAAAUAGCGAGUUAUGAUAGACAUCAGCUAGAAUUCUCGGCAUUUAGUCUACGACUUGGUGCUGAGCCCGACCAUAGUCUUGUCUUGACUUGUAAUGUACUUCAAGACGUGGUUGAAGACGCACUCUAUUCCAUUUUGCGUUCAUGACAAUACGAGGGCAUGCAUAACUACACGUCCCGUGGGGAUCCGGGUUGUCGUCAGAGGUGACUAAAUGGGGCGGUCCUUCGGAUGAGACCGCAAAAACCGAGUUCCCGUGGCACAGCAGGUGUGGCACGAUAAAGAUCCCUCCCUGCUCAAAGGCCGUAAGCGCCGAGCAUAGGCCUAAAUUUUGCAGCCCUUCACCGGCAGUGAUGACGUCUUCAUAUGAGUGGAAAAAAAUUGAGUGGGACGUUAAACAACAUACAAUUAAUCAAUCAUAACUACACAUGUGUAAACUAGCAUUGUUUUCACUGUCUCAUGUUGUACUUGGUGUGCCACUUAGAGGUCUUUGGUAGUCUAUAACAAUCUAAUGAAA